GAGAGCCCGAAAACAGUCAUGGUCAGCCCGAAAAAGGUGCAGAGCCGCCCCGACGGGUCGAUGUGCUCCCAACGCUGCUUGGACAGGUACACGACGAUGACGACCGGGGUGGUGAGAAGCUGCCCGACCAGGUCGGUGAGCGCCAGCCAGCCGAUGCACAGCAGGAAGGACUUCUUGCGCUUGCUCUCCCGGCGCCGGUAGCUGCGCGACACGAGCAGCAUGGCCAGUGCGUUGCCCACGAAACCAGUGAGCAGCAUGGUGAUCGGGAAGGCCACGGACACCGAUCCGCAAUCCUCGCCAGACCCUGGAGGGCGCGUGAGGUUGCCCCGCGCCUCGGCGGAACGCUCGGGCGCCCACAUGCCUGUGUAGGAGUGGUUGAGGCGGGUGCAGAAGGGGGCAUCCCCUCCGUAGCCCCGGGUCUCCUUCAUGUUGGCUUCGAGAAAUCCUCCAAGGUACUAUUGCUAUUAUUAUUUCCCUUAAAGGUGGGGUAACUGAGGCCCCAUGAAGUUAAAGAAUGUUCCUGAAGUCUCUCAGCAAUUCUCAAGUCCCAUCUUAUUUGAAGCAUGUAUUCCUG
Molecule: long non-coding RNA, 574 nt
Filed under: Pan troglodytes (chimpanzee)
Lineage: Eukaryota; Metazoa; Chordata; Mammalia; Primates; Hominidae
Description: long non-coding RNA NONPTRT000305
Source: RNAcentral